AUUGAACGCUGGCGGCAGGCCUAACACAUGCAAGUCGAACGGUAACAGGAAGAAGCUUGCUUCUUUGCUGACGAGUGGCGGACGGGUGAGUAAUGUCUGGGAAACUGCCUGAUGGAGGGGGAUAACUACUGGAAACGGUAGCUAAUACCGCAUAACGUCGCAAGACCAAAGAGGGGGACCUUCGGGCCUCUUGCCAUCGGAUGUGCCCAGAUGGGAUUAGCUAGUAGGUGGGGUAACGGCUCACCUAGGCGACGAUCCCUAGCUGGUCUGAGAGGAUGACCAGCCACACUGGAACUGAGACACGGUCCAGACUCCUACGGGAGGCAGCAGUGGGGAAUAUUGCACAAUGGGCGCAAGCCUGAUGCAGCCAUGCCGCGUGUAUGAAGAAGGCCUUCGGGUUGUAAAGUACUUUCAGCGGGGAGGAAGGGAGUAAAGUUAAUACCUUUGCUCAUUGACGUUACCCGCAGAGGAAACACCGGCUAACUCCGU
RNAcentral lists this ribosomal RNA (489 nucleotides) under uncultured bacterium. Its description in RNAcentral is "partial 16S ribosomal RNA". It matches the Rfam family "Bacterial small subunit ribosomal RNA", at positions 30 to 506 of the family's 1533-position model. The record is from RNAcentral.